This 232-nucleotide ribosomal RNA is filed under the name uncultured bacterium. Its description in RNAcentral is "partial 16S ribosomal RNA". It matches the Rfam family "Bacterial small subunit ribosomal RNA", at positions 100 to 334 of the family's 1533-position model. The record is from RNAcentral.
CGGGACGGGUGAGUAAUGUCUGGGAAACUGCCUGAUGGAGGGGGGUAACUACUGGAAACGGUAGCUAAUACCGCAUAACGUCGCAAGACCAAAGAGGGGGACCUUCGGGCCUCUUGCCAUCGGAUGUGCCCAGAUGGGAUUAGCUAGUAGGUGGGGUAACGGCUCACCUAGGCGACGAUCCCUAGCUGGCUGAGAGGAUGACCAGCCACACUGGAACUGAGACACGGUCCAG